This 23-nucleotide microRNA is filed under the name Lotus japonicus. Its description in RNAcentral is "lja-miR11083e-3p". The record is from miRBase by way of RNAcentral. Lineage: Eukaryota; Viridiplantae; Streptophyta; Magnoliopsida; Fabales; Fabaceae.
GGAUUUAAGCAACUCAUAAGCAA